RNAcentral lists this ribosomal RNA (253 nucleotides) under uncultured bacterium. RNAcentral's name for it is "partial 16S ribosomal RNA". It matches the Rfam family "Bacterial small subunit ribosomal RNA", at positions 524 to 776 of the family's 1533-position model. The record is from RNAcentral.
UACGGGGGGGGCAAGCGUUGUUCGGAAUUACUGGGCGUAAAGGGCUCGUAGGCGGCCAACUAAGUCAGACGUGAAAUCCCUCAGCUUAACUGGGGAACUGCGUCUGAUACUGGAUGGCUUGAGUUUGGGAGAGGGAUGCGGAAUUCCAGGUGUAGCGGUGAAAUGCGUAGAUAUCUGGAGGAACACCGGUGGCGAAGGCGGCAUCCUGGACCAAUACUGACGCUGAGGAGCGAAAGCCAGGGGAGCAAACGGG